This 289-nucleotide long non-coding RNA is filed under the name Populus tremula. RNAcentral's name for it is "long non-coding RNA (PTRE_LNC001132)". Lineage: Eukaryota; Viridiplantae; Streptophyta; Magnoliopsida; Malpighiales; Salicaceae. The record is from RNAcentral.
UAUUACAAUGGGGUAAGAAUGUGGAGGAGGAGGAGAAACAAGAAUUGGGUUUCUGAGGCCUAGUUAACGUUGUCAUACUCACCAUAUUCAUGUUCACGUUGAGGGGGUUUGUGGAGAAAGUAUGAGACAUAAUGUUCCUGUUCGUGUGUUUUUAAGGUCAGUUAAGAAUUUAGGAUUUGACAGUAGGAAAGGACAAGGCUUUAAAUAUAGAAGACUGACAGACAUGGAACAGUGAAGAAAGCAGAUUGGUAGGAGGGAUCUAUCCUGUAAUCAUUCGUGUGUGUGUGUG